CCUACGGGGGGCUGCAGUGAGGAAUAUUGGUCAAUGGGCGCGAGCCUGAACCAGCCAAGUCGCGUGAGGGAAGACGGUCCUAUGGAUUGUAAACCUCUUUUGUCGGGGAGCAAAAGACGCCACGCGUGGCGUUCCGCGAGUACCCGAAGAAAAAGCAUCGGCUAACUCCGUGCCAGCAGCCGCGGUAAUACGGAGGAUGCGAGCGUUAUCCGGAUUUAUUGGGUUUAAAGGGUGCGCAGGCGGAAGAUCAAGUCAGCGGUAAAAUUGAGAGGCUCAACAUCUUCGAGCCGUUGAAACUGGUUGUCUUGAGUGAGCGAGAGGUAGGCGGAAUGCGUGGUGUAGCGGUGAAAUGCAUAGAUAUCACGCAGAACUCCGAUUGCGAAGGCAGCAUACCGGCGCCCAACUGACGCUGAAGCACGAAAGCGUGGGUAUCGAACAGGAUUAGAUACCCUUGUAGUC
This 459-nucleotide ribosomal RNA is filed under the name uncultured bacterium. RNAcentral describes it as "partial 16S ribosomal RNA". It matches the Rfam family "Bacterial small subunit ribosomal RNA", at positions 338 to 795 of the family's 1533-position model. The record is from RNAcentral.